Mus caroli (Ryukyu mouse) is the source of this 582-nucleotide long non-coding RNA. RefSeq lists it as uncharacterized. The record is from RefSeq and is a predicted model, not a curated record. Lineage: Eukaryota; Metazoa; Chordata; Mammalia; Rodentia; Muridae.
UGUAACCCUGGAAGUUGCGAGGUGGGGAAAUACCUAACCUAGGACACCUGGCCACCAAGGCAAAUUUUUGCUGCCCAAAUAUUCCACUGGAGCAUGGUUGACUUAUUAGGAGCUGCACUUUUAGAGAAAAACAGACUCUUCCUUUGCCAGCAGACAUCAGAAAUUUCGUUCAAGAAUUCUUAAUGAGAUUCCUAGUGUGGCGAUUUUAUUAACUCAGGAUUUAGAGUACAUCAAGUGAGAAUGGAGGAUGCAAGUGCAUGACAAGAUAUUCGGAGAACAAUUUAAAGGCAAGAACUCUGUAAUGAGGCUGCUUCUGCCCAAGGAAGCUGGGGGAUGUAUGUGCUGGACUAGUUUUUUGUCAUCUGGACAUAAUUGGAGUAAUUUGGAAGAGAGAACAAAAUUGAGAAAAUGCUUCCACCAGAGUGGCUUGUGGGCGAGCCUAGGGAACUUUUUCUUGAUUAGUAAUUUAUGUGGGAGGGCCCAGCCCAUUGUGGGUGGGGCCUGGACAGAUGGUCCUGCAUGCUUUAAGGAAGGAAACCGAGCAAGCAGCCGAGCAGCACUCCUCCACGACCUCCUUCCUUC